Phrynosoma platyrhinos (Desert horned lizard) is the source of this 72-nucleotide non-coding RNA. The record is from the annotation of a GenBank genome assembly. NCBI's taxonomy places the organism in Eukaryota, Metazoa, Chordata, Lepidosauria, Squamata, Phrynosomatidae.
GCCAGAAUGGUGUAGUGGUUUGAGCAUUGGACUAUGACUCUGAAGAACAGAGUUUGAAUCCCUGCUCAGCCA